AUUGAACGCUGGCGGCAUGCCUUACACAUGCCAGUCGAACGGCAGCGCGGGAGCAAUCCUGGCGGCGAGUGGCGAACGGGUGAGUAAUACAUCGGAACGUGCCCAAUCGUGGUGGAUAACGCAGCGAAAGCUGUGCUAAUACCGCAUACGAUCUACGGAUGAAAGCAGGGGAUCGCAAGACCUUGCGCGAAUGGAGCGGCCGAUGGCAGAUUAGGUAGUUGGUGAGGUAAAGGCUCACCAAGCCUUCGAUCUGUAGCUGGUCUGAGAGGACGACCAGCCACACUGGGACUGAGACACGGCCCAGACUCCUACGGGAGGCAGCAGUGGGGAAUUUUGGACAAUGGGCGAAAGCCUGAUCCAGCCAUGCCGCGUGCAGGAUGAAGGCCUUCGGGUUGUAAAAUGCUUUUGUACGGAACGAAACGGUCUUUUCUAAUAAAGAAGGCUAAUGACGGUACCGUAAGAAUAAGCACCGGCUAACUACGUG
Molecule: ribosomal RNA, 484 nt
Filed under: uncultured bacterium
Lineage: Bacteria
Description: partial 16S ribosomal RNA
Rfam family: Bacterial small subunit ribosomal RNA
Source: RNAcentral